CGGCGCUGCGUACCACCCUCUCGUAGGGCACGUUGGCCGUGAUGAGGCUGUGGCUGUUGAAGGAGAGGUGACGAACGGGGUGUCUGGAACACAGCGGGAGAGAGAAGUCCUGCGAGGGAGGAGGACGCUGUGUCUGCCUCGGUUCCCAAAGCUGGGUUGAGCAAGGCCACACUCUGCGCCCUUCUCUGUAAAGAAGUCUGAAUGCCCCUCGUGCAUCCCAGUUGACGGCCCCAACAACUGGGUGUGUUCACACAUGCAGGACACACUCAACCUGAGACAGUUCAGCAUGCCGUGGACAACAGCCCCAUUUCUGCCUCCUGGCCGGCUGGCCUUGGACAAGUCACUCAAGCUCUCCAAGCCAGGUUCCUUCUCUGCAGGGCACGGGGGUGACGGAGUGAAUUUAGUGGUGUCCCAUAAAGGUCCCCUAGUCCUAAGUCAGAGGACUACAAAUGACACAUGUACUCUGGGUUGUGAAAGCAUAUUCAGAAAAUCCUGGAAGGAAACGGCUUGAGAUCUAUGCAGUUGUAGAACUACGUAGAUCUACAAUCUGUGUAGUAUGUGGAACAAAGGCUUUUGUUUGCUCUAAAAACUCUUAUCCACUGCCUACAGCACUGGCCACGGCACUGAGCCAGGGACACAGGAAUCAUUCCGAGGGUAGGCAUCUGCUUGGACUGGACAUCUUCUUUAAUGCUAACUAGCUAAGAAGGUAAGAUACACUCCCACACAGAGCCAGUGUUUCUAGAGCAUGAGAGAUGUUACAAGCCACAAAGAUAGGACACAGACUUCAGCACCUGGGAGGAGGAACAUCACCAUGUGAUGAAACGGUCCACCAGGCCCCGGGAGGUGCUGGCCCAUCAGCCAGGCCCUUUCAGAAAGGCAGAGGGUAGCAAAGGAGGGGACGAGGGAGAGGCCCAUUCGGGCUGAGUCAGGGCUGCUCCUGGGAUGGCCAGGGCAGGGGCAGGCUUCCUGGCGAGAGCAGAAGAUCCUCUGGACAGCAAUGCAGGUUAGGAGGAGUCUGAGCUUGGCCCUGUCAGUCCAGGGUUUGGGGCACCAACCAGAGGAAAAUAUUGUUACAGGACUUCACUAGGGGCCCAGUGAGGCAGGACAGGAAAGUGACCAAGCGAGAGCUGGACCAGAACUCAGAAGAGAAUCAGGAUCAGCAGUGUGCACGGGCAGCGAGGACUUGAGCAAGUAUACAAAUUCUGCGCAGCAGACUGAAGAGCGAGGCAUCGGCCUUGUGCAGGUGAAAACAGUGCCCUCAUGAGGGACAAGCCAUUAACUGUGGCGGCCACUGUGUGCAUUUACACACGAGUUAGGAAGGCAGAUGCUGGGACGGGACGACGAUUCUGGAGAAGACCUCACUCACCCUGGCUUCACCUGAAUGACUCAUCCGAGGGAGUGCAGCUUUUCAGGGAGAGAAAAACGAGACCUGCUGGAGUGCAGGCCUAGGGAACUAAGUGGGGCUGGUGGCAGUCCCUGGGGCCCCGGACUGCAGUGGGAACCGUCCUAGAGGCCAGGCUGAGCCAGCUCUUCAAAAUAAAUAAAAGGGUUCCCUUAAAGGCAAAUAUUUCUAUGAUGCUAAUAUGUGAGAGUUUUAGUUGCCUGUUGGCACCACCUAGUGGCAACUCAGUGCAUCACCACAGAAAUCAGAAAAACAGCUGAUGUCCAGAGCCAGAGCUGGGCGGGCGGACAUGCCCCACGCCCCCGGGCUCAAGUCUGAGAACAGCUGCUGGCGGAAGCCCCCACUACCACUGCCCUCCAAGGAAGACACCAAUUCUUCUUUCCACCUGGCCGCCUCUUGUACUCACAAUGCAGACUGCCCUGCCUUCUCAUAGGUCUGGUUUAUCAGGACUUGCAGUUAGAGGGGAAAACCCUCCAUUUGUAGCUGCAGGCCUUGGCAUCUGUGGCCACUCUCCUCUGUCCUCACGGUCACUUGCCCCCAAAUGUUUCUUUACAGCAGUACUGAGGGACAGCUGGGAGAAGGCUUGUCGCCUUUCUUCCCAGCUGCCUCAAAAGCAGGCAUGCAGGGCUGGGGGAAUGUGGGGGAGGGGAUGGCCUCAGGUCAGCUCCAGUUGACCCUGCUCCAGGUGAGGCUGCCUCUGCUUUAAAGGUCAGGAGCAGGCUCGACCAUGUUGAAGCAGUGAGGCCCCAUUAAUGCAAACAUACCUACAUCCAGGAAGCCAGCGGCCUGUGCUUGGGAUGGUAUUUAUUUCUCUUGAAUGUGAGAGUUAAAAGUUGAAAUUACAAAUUCCUCCUUAGCUGAAGCCUGAAUACUUUCAGUCCUAAGUGUCCUUCCAAACAGUGUCUUAGAAAGUCCCAGAAACGGGCAGAAAGUGACCAUCAUGCGUGUGGAGACUGGCAUAGAGGAUGGUGGCUGCACCUCAGCUAGGCAUCACGUCAGGGCCUCCACCUGCACUGGGCAUGGAUUACAGCAGCUUUAAUGAAGCGGGAGAGGAACUUCCCUCCACUGACCAGCUCCAUUUCUGAGCCUCAGUUUCCUCCUCUGAAACAUGGACAUAAGAGCAGCAGCCAGCUCACAGGGUUAUGGUGAGGAUCACACAGCAACAUGGAAGCACUUAGCCCAGCGCCUGCCUGGCUCAGAGGCUGACUACUGUUAUCACUACUGUUGCUGUUAUUACUGAAAAUGCCUGAGGAACUACUUACCUCGAAUGCACCUCCCACAGCUUCUGGUUCAUCCGAUAAUCCCACACAGAGACCAGGCCUUCCUCGCCUCCGCUGACGAUUUUCCAGUCAUCCAUCUGGACUGCGGAGACCCCAAGUUGGUGGGCAGAGAGCGACAGGGUGAUUUUGUCAGUGCGGAGAUCGUGGAUCCUCACCCUGGAAGGCCCAAGACAAGCACAGAGGAGGCAAAUGGGAUUAAAGCCCAGGAUGCACACUCCUCCUCGGGUGUGCUGGUCUGUGCACAACGAUGCUACGAAAAUAGCAUAUAAAAUGCUUUCAGUUGCAAACAUCUGAAUACUGAUAUCAAACUUUUAUGUCCUUAUGAGUACACUAUCCCAGGAGGCCAAGACACAACAGAAAUGAACUGUUCACAACUAUUUAAUCAGAAUGAUUUAAAAGCACAUAGAACAAGACCGACCCAGGACAAGUCUAUCAGCUGCCCUGUCGCUAACUUUAUCUGCUCAACAGGGAAGACACCUGCCCUGGGCGCAAGUCCAUGUGCAAGGAAGUUGAGAUGUGACGGGCACCAUGCCUCCACACGGGUGUCAGCCUAUGAAGACUGUCCAAAGGGUAAGCUGACCGCCCAGCACAGUAGUUUUGCUGGUAGAAUAAUAUUCUGUUAGGGACACAAGGUAAGUCAGCUAUACUUGUCUGCAACCCAAACCCUCACCUGCUUGGGAAAACAACACUUUUCGAGUAUUUAACUCUGAUGACUUUGUAAGUUCAUCACCAUCUUGUCGAAAUUGGGAGAGAGAAUGAGUCUAUACAGAUGGUCCCUGACUUCCGAUGGUUCGACUUACAAUUUUUUGACUUUACGACGGUGGGUUCCAGCCCGGAAUUCAAUCUACUGUUGAACUGCACAACUCUGAGAUGCGGUCAACUUUGGGAUUCAUCUCACUUCAAACAUUUGCUGAAGGAUGAAUAUGUCUAAAUAGACUGUUCUGUUUUUUUUUACUUUUGAAAAAUACACACACACACUUAAAUAAAUCAUCUUGUGAAAUAACA
Molecule: non-coding RNA, 3687 nt
Organism: Equus caballus (horse)
Lineage: Eukaryota; Metazoa; Chordata; Mammalia; Perissodactyla; Equidae
Source: RefSeq, a predicted model, not a curated record